Molecule: long non-coding RNA, 2310 nt
Filed under: Homo sapiens (human)
Lineage: Eukaryota; Metazoa; Chordata; Mammalia; Primates; Hominidae
Description: HSALNT0105114
Source: RNAcentral
GCUGAAGAAAAAGACCCUCCGCAGCUUCAGCGCGAAGAGGGCGGCGGGGACCGGGGUGGUGGGGGUGGAACCUCGCCGCCUUCCGAAGCAGGAGUAAGCUGCAGAGGCUGCGCGGGGGUUUGAGCGGAGCGAGAACAGCUCCUUCCCUUGAUCAUGCUGCCCUCCGGAGGUCAGUUUAGGUAUCGCCGCUCCCUUUCACGCUGUUUUGUCUCUUCACCGUCUGUUCUGGAUCAUCCUGUCCAGAGAGACCGUUGGGUCAGAGGGUUCCUGUGGACCCCUGGGGCGAGCUUAAUGUCCCCGAAAACUGCGUGCUCCAGUAUCACUUGAAUGCCCACCGGGUUCCGGAAUCACGAGUCUCCAGAGCUGUCCCUUCGCCCCACGGCUCACAUUCCAGGUCUGCCCCUCAGUGACUUCUGCAACAACACGCGCUUCUCGAUCAGCUCUGAGGAUUUGGGUUCUGCGACGGACAGGGGAAGGAAAGAAGGAAGGCUGUGAAGAACCGUGGUGCCUGCCUGCACAGCCCUCCUCGCGUGCGAGCAUUAGUUGGCUAAAGUCGCCUGUCUCGACAGUCUCCCCUGCGGGGUAUCUGGGGACCCUUUCUUUGGGAAUCCACGCUCUUUGUCAGAGUAGCCAAUGCCUCUCCUGUCCAAAAUCUCAUACCCUUGGCCCUUCUCCCGUCCUCGCGCUGAGGCUGGAGUCAGGUCAAAUGUCAGAACAUCUGGAUGUCCCAAGAGUGACACCUGGGAGUGGGUGGGCAAGAAACCAGUAGCGGGAAGGGAAAGUGGAGGAGCAGAGGAUUCCCGGGGCCGGCGUCUGGGGUGAGCUCGCGGCCCCUCAGAGCCUGGCACAUCGCCGCCUGGCAUCCGGCAGGCGUGAGGGAACGCAUAGCGCAGCGAGUCAGGCGGGGUAAACCCGGAGCAACGCGGAGGCGGUGAUCUGGGCAAGGGCGAGGUCAGUUAAGGACGCAGUUCUGGCCCCGCCCUCAAGGCACGCCUGGCCAAUCAGGAAUCGCUGAUUCACCAAGCCUCUCCUCCUGCGCUCGCCCUCUUCUGCACUUCGGUCUCAGGCGCAAACACGUUCAAAGUCGCUAGGCCAAAGCGCUGAGAUACGGUUUCCCAAGCCAAUUAGAGAGCGGCUCUCGGAUAUGGGGCGGAACCCUGAAAAGGCGAGAGCUGAGAUGCCGCUCCGUUCUGCCUUACCACGCCGCCCCCCAGCGUCCGCCAAUUAGGAGAGCCCGGAGCCGGAUCCACUCUCAGCCUCAGGAAGCAGCAGCCUCCGCUCCGCGGCGGGUGUGCUCGGCAGUCACAGACCCACUCAGGACACCUCCCGUUGCCGACGGGCUAGACCUGCCUUAAAGGGGUCCCCGUGUCUCUCCAGUCUAGAGCCUAAGUUCAAACGAGGCGUAUAGGCGAGGACAGCAGGAAGGCUCCAAGUCAAACAAACGGAUGGUACGAAUUUCGCCUGGUCUAGCCCUGCCCCAACGGUGUGGGUGUGGGUUGGGUGCUGCAGCCCCCGAGCAAGGGGCUGUCACAGCCACAACCAGAGGAGCUAUGGAGCUGCUACGGAGGAGGGAUUCCAGAGUCAGCUUGGGCUUGUCCCAAGGGAGCCCUUGGGACAGUGUCUGGGGCUGCGCGGCCUGGUUCUCAUCCCUUGCAGCAUCUGCUAUUUUAGCCAGGGGCCACCUUCCUCCAAUGGCCUGGGAGUAGCUAGAGGUUAGAGGUUACACCCACCAGAAGGGAUGUAAGCCCAGGAAGUAGUCAGAAAGGAAAGGUCAUUCUAGAGAUGGGGCCACCUGAAAAACCUUCAGGAGGAAGGAGAAAGGAAAUGGGAUAAGUGUCAUGUCAUACUAAAUAUUUAUUUUCUGCAGACUGACUUCGGAGUAAUUCUUGAGCCAGGAGGGGAGAGGUUAGUGUUCAAAUUGCUGAGAUCUUAGGUCAAAAAGCUACAGAAAAGAAAUCACUUUGAAAAACACAAUGACUCAGAGGCAGUCACCCCUUGCCAGCAAUUCCAAGAGCUGAGGAGGCUUCAUGCCUCAGGACAUGGUGACUAGUUGAGUGAACCAGAGAUUGAGGCAGUGGUUUUUACAGGGGAAGAAACAAGCCUUGGGUGUAUGGGAGCAGGAAAGGAGGGUGACAGACUGGAGAAAUGAUAAAGGCCAUUUUGGAAGCCCACAGGGAAGUGGUCUUGGGAAACCUGAAGACACUGGGAUAUUCAGAAGGCCAAGGGGAUCCAGCUUAUCCUGUUGGGCAAGGUGCUGGGAGUGAAGGCAGAUCUCAGGGCGGUUUCUGGCACAUCAGAAGUUGGGCUUAU